RNAcentral lists this ribosomal RNA (253 nucleotides) under uncultured bacterium. Its description in RNAcentral is "partial 16S ribosomal RNA". It matches the Rfam family "Bacterial small subunit ribosomal RNA", at positions 524 to 777 of the family's 1533-position model. The record is from RNAcentral.
UACAGAGGGGGCAAGCGUUGUUCGGAAUUACUGGGCGUAAAGGGCGCGUAGGCGGCCUUCUAAGUCGAACGUGAAAUCCCCGGGCUCAACCCGGGAACUGCGUCCGAUACUGGAAGGCUUGAAUCCGGGAGAGGGAUGCGGAAUUCCAGGUGUAGCGGUGAAAUGCGUAGAUAUCUGGAGGAACACCGGUGGCGAAGGCGCAUCCUGGACCGGCAUUGACGCUGAGGCGCGAAAGCCAGGGGAGCAAAGCGGG